This 91-nucleotide transfer RNA is filed under the name Camelus bactrianus (Bactrian camel). It matches the Rfam family "tRNA". From Rfam's summary of the family: Transfer RNA (tRNA) molecules are approximately 80 nucleotides in length. Their secondary structure includes four short double-helical elements and three loops (D, anti-codon, and T loops). RNAcentral also lists the same sequence under 1 other name. Lineage: Eukaryota; Metazoa; Chordata; Mammalia; Artiodactyla; Camelidae. The record is from Rfam by way of RNAcentral.
GAGGGUAUAGCUCAGUGGUAGAGCGCACGCUUAGUAGCAGAGUGUGUGCUUAGCAUGCAUGAGGUCCUGGGUUUAAUCUCCAGUACCUCCA